AUUGAACGCUGACGGCAGGCCUAACACAUGCAAGUCGAGCGGAUGAAGGGAGCUUGCUCCUGGAUUCAGCGGCGGACGGGUGAGUAAUGCCUAGGAAUCUGCCUGGUAGUGGGGGAUAACGUCCGGAAACGGGCGCUAAUACCGCAUACGUCCUGAGGGAGAAAGUGGGGGAUCUUCGGACCUCACGCUAUCAGAUGAGCCUAGGUCGGAUUAGCUAGUUGGUGGGGUAAAGGCCUACCAAGGCGACGAUCCGUAACUGGUCUGAGAGGAUGAUCAGUCACACUGGAACUGAGACACGGUCCAGACUCCUACGGGAGGCAGCAGUGGGGAAUAUUGGACAAUGGGCGAAAGCCUGAUCCAGCCACGCCGCGUGUGUGAAGAAGGUCUUCGGAUUGUAAAGCACUUUAAGUUGGGAGGAAGGGCAGUAAGUUAAUACCUUGCUGUUUUGACGUUACCAACAGAAUAAGCACCGGCUAACUUCGUG
This 484-nucleotide ribosomal RNA is filed under the name uncultured bacterium. RNAcentral describes it as "partial 16S ribosomal RNA". It matches the Rfam family "Bacterial small subunit ribosomal RNA", at positions 30 to 507 of the family's 1533-position model. The record is from RNAcentral.